RNAcentral lists this long non-coding RNA (221 nucleotides) under Capsicum annuum. RNAcentral's name for it is "long non-coding RNA (CANN_LNC011161)". The record is from RNAcentral. Lineage: Eukaryota; Viridiplantae; Streptophyta; Magnoliopsida; Solanales; Solanaceae.
UGAUACUAUCCCUCUUACAUACCACCUGUGAUUCCAACUUCACUACCACCUUAUUCUCCAGCCUCACGUCAUUAAACUUGCAUUCCAAAUACUCUAUCUUGCUCCUACUCAACCUGAACCCUUUAGACUUAAGAGUUUGUCUCCACACCUCUAAUUUAUCAUUCACACCCCCCGUAUCUCAUCAAUCAAAACUACAUCAUCUGCAAAAAGCAUACACCAAG